RNAcentral lists this unclassified non-coding RNA (248 nucleotides) under Glomeraceae sp. Its description in RNAcentral is "partial contains 5.8S ribosomal RNA and internal transcribed spacer 2". The stretch from base 1 to 71 matches the Rfam family "5.8S ribosomal RNA", at positions 84 to 154 of the family's 154-position model. The record is from RNAcentral. Lineage: Eukaryota; Fungi; Glomeromycota; Glomeromycetes; Glomerales; Glomeraceae.
GUGAAUCAUCAAAUUUUUGAACGCAAAUUGCGCUUCCUAGCAUCCCGGGAAGUAUGCCUGUUUGAGGGUCAGUAUUAAUAAAAAUCGGUGUGUUGCUUCUUUGUGACGCUCCGGAGUUUGGGUCAUCUUAAUAUCCUUUAGGUUUUAAGAGGCUUAAAAUUGACUUUUUUUUCGCAUUUUAGAUUGACAUAAAUUCUUUUUUUUUUUCGUUUUUCUUAAAGCUCAAAAUCCUAUUAGAUUCGACCAUU